GGAAUCAUAGCUUAGUGGUAGAGCACUUGCCUAGCACGCAAGAGGCCUGGGGUUUAAUCCCUAGUACCA
Ictidomys tridecemlineatus (thirteen-lined ground squirrel) is the source of this 69-nucleotide non-coding RNA. NCBI's taxonomy places the organism in Eukaryota, Metazoa, Chordata, Mammalia, Rodentia, Sciuridae. The record is from Rfam.